GCAACUCGCCUACAUGAAGUCGGAGUUGCUAGUAAUCGCGGAUCAGAAUGCCGCGGUGAAUGCGUUCCCGGGUCUUGUACACACCGCCCGUCACACCAUGGAAGUUGGGGGCGCCCGAAGUUGCCUAAGAAAUAAGGUACCUAAGGCGAAACCAAUGACUGGGUGAAGUCGUAACAAGGUACC
This 183-nucleotide ribosomal RNA is filed under the name uncultured bacterium. RNAcentral describes it as "partial 16S ribosomal RNA". It matches the Rfam family "Bacterial small subunit ribosomal RNA", at positions 1307 to 1500 of the family's 1533-position model. The record is from RNAcentral.